GACAUAUCUCAGGAUCUGGUCCUAGUGGAGCAUCAGCAGUACCUUCCAUCCCAGCAUCACAGGUAUUGGGCACAUAUCAGGGAGCUGGUCCUAGUGAAGCAUCAGCACUCAGCAGUACCUUCCGUCCCAGCAUCACAGGAUGGAUAUAAAUUUCAUCCCUGGAUCUCGAACUCUGAACUCUCGCCUCUGGACACUCAACACUGGACAGGGGGUUAUAAUUCUCAAUGUGACUCGUGCAAGUGACCCAGGCUUCUUGUCAGAGUCAAAAUUAUGCAUGAUUUCAUUUUUUU
Molecule: long non-coding RNA, 290 nt
Organism: Eurytemora carolleeae
Lineage: Eukaryota; Metazoa; Arthropoda; Copepoda; Calanoida; Temoridae
Exons: 2
Source: RefSeq, a predicted model, not a curated record